AUGUUCUCUCUUCUUCAAUACGCUGGUUCUUCUCAUUCUUCGCCGCCGAUUCAUCAUCUAAAACUGAUCCAUCAUCCAAACCCGAUUGGCUACGCUUAAGCUUAAACCUGGUGGAUUUUUUGUUUUGAAAGACAACCUUGCAAGAUCUGGUACUGGGACAGUGCACAUAAGACAGUUUGUACGAUUUUGAUGAAUGUUUGAAGUGGAAUAAAAUAAAAGUGGGAGCAAUCUGCUCAUCAAUCCAGGGUUGAUUUGAAAUUCUUUAUAUGUUGGGUGAAUUUAUGUCAAAUAACAAUGAUGGAGCAAAAAGUACGUCUGGUGGGAUGAGCUUGACUUUGCUAAUUCAACAGACGAUCAAGUUCAACCACCAACACCUAAUGAAUAUGAUCAUCAACGAGAGCCAUAUGUAUUCAGAUGUUUGUCAUGCUUC
This 430-nucleotide long non-coding RNA is filed under the name Helianthus annuus (common sunflower). Lineage: Eukaryota; Viridiplantae; Streptophyta; Magnoliopsida; Asterales; Asteraceae. The record is from RNAcentral.